GUGACCUUGAUAUAACUAUCAGAAGUGUGCUACCCAAGCAGGAGCCUAAAGAAAUGUCUUUCUAUGGUCUGUUGGCCAUUUCAGAACUUAGGAAAUGUAACGGUCAAUUCAUUACAAAGAAACAUCU
Small nucleolar RNA from Myotis lucifugus (little brown bat), 127 nucleotides. The record is from Ensembl. NCBI's taxonomy places the organism in Eukaryota, Metazoa, Chordata, Mammalia, Chiroptera, Vespertilionidae.